RNAcentral lists this ribosomal RNA (428 nucleotides) under uncultured eukaryote. RNAcentral describes it as "bacterial SSU rRNA". It matches the Rfam family "Eukaryotic small subunit ribosomal RNA", at positions 592 to 1018 of the family's 1831-position model. The record is from RNAcentral.
CAAGAGCGUAUAUUAAAGUUGUUGCAGUUAAAAAGCUCGUAGUUGGAUUUCUGGUACAAUGCGCCUGGCCCGCGACCGUCAGGUCUGUGAGUGCCGGUGCGCGUUUGCCAUCCUUCUAGAAAACGUUUCUACCCUUCACUGGGCCGGAUUCGCGAUCUAGAUCUUUUACUUUGAAAAAUUAGAGUGUUUAAAGCAGGCUUUUGCUAUGAAUACAUUAGCAUGGAAUAAUGGAAAAGGACUUCAACCUCUUCUGUUGGUCUGAGGGGUGUAAGUAAUGAUUAAUAGGGAUAGUUGGGGGCAUUAGUACUUAACUGUCAGAGGUGAAAUUCUCGGAUUUGUUAAAGACUAACUUAUGCGAAAGCAUUUGCCAAGGAUGUUUUCAUUAAUCAAGAACGAAAGUUAGGGGAUCAAAGAUGAUUAGAUACCAU